This 497-nucleotide ribosomal RNA is filed under the name uncultured bacterium. RNAcentral's name for it is "partial 16S ribosomal RNA". It matches the Rfam family "Bacterial small subunit ribosomal RNA", at positions 28 to 507 of the family's 1533-position model. The record is from RNAcentral.
GAUGAACGCUGGCGGCGUGCCUAAUACAUGCAAGUCGAGCGAACAGACGAGGAGCUUGCUCCUCUGACGUUAGCGGCGGACGGGUGAGUAACACGUGGAUAACCUACCUAUAAUACUGGUAUAACUUCGGGAAACCGGAGCUAAUACCGUAUAAUAUCUUGAACCGCAUGGUUCAAUAGUGAAAGACGGUUUUUAUGUCACUAAUAGAUGGAUCCGCGCCGCAUUAGGUAGUUGGUAAGGUAACGGCUUACCAAGGCAACGAUGCGUAGCCGACCUGAGCGAGUGUUAGGCCACACUAGAAGUGAGCCACGGUCCAGGCUGCUACGGGAGGCAGCAGUAGGGAAUCUUCGGCAAUGGGCGCGAGCAUGACGGAGCAGCGCCAAGUGCGUGGUAAAGAUCUUAGGAUCGUGAUAAUCUGUUACUAGGGAAGAACCACUGUGUAAGUAACUAUAGACGGCUUGACGGUACUUAGUCAGGAAGCCCCGGCUAACUACGUG